This 2315-nucleotide ribosomal RNA is filed under the name Triticum aestivum (bread wheat). RNAcentral describes it as "partial small subunit ribosomal RNA". Lineage: Eukaryota; Viridiplantae; Streptophyta; Magnoliopsida; Poales; Poaceae. The record is from RNAcentral.
UACUGUACGGGCAGCCGCGAGGUAGGAGGGUAGAAGAGGUAGAAAAGGGAUCGGUAGAGGGAGGAGGGAGGGAAAAGGCGGGGGUGGAGAUGAGGCUAGACCAGACCUUGAUCCGCGGCCGCUGAACCUCCGUCUCCUGUGAGCUCGCGAGGAAGACCUAGCCCAGUUGCGCCGCGGUGGAGAGCUACGCCUUACCGCCCCCGCCGAUCUAGCCGUCGCCGUUGACCUCGAACGUCUUGCUGCCGCCGCCGACCUCGACCCCUAACGGUCGGGACCCUCCUCGCGCAGAGCGGCCGACGCCGAGGUGACCCUCCUCGCGUUGAUGCAUCGAUAUUAACAAGUCCCUCGGUACGUUAACCUCGACUCUCUUAAUAAUCGUGCAAUACAUUUCUUCACAACUCGGUCAUGUUUCCCUGCUAGGAGUUAAACAAUUAUCGUCUCGACACACUCGCAAAUGCCUCGCGCUUGCCCCUCAGUUGUCAGUCGACGACAGUAUAGAGUUUUUACGCCCAAGCAAAAAGCAACGAAUGUCGCUCUCGCCAGCACCACCUGUCCUUGCUGGUGGUGCCUAGGGAGCGGGGUUCAGUUCUAGGUCAACAACUUACAAGUGUUCUUUUAAAUACAUAAGGACUUUGUGAUGGGUAACAAAAUCGACGGAUGUACCUAACCUCUAACUGACUAACAAACCAACAGGCGUCUAAGUUUCUACUUCACUAAGUCUACUCGCAGAGGGUGUUCAGAAAACGUGAUGGGCUCUCCAGUUCGUAGGGUCUAGUACUAGGUUAGUACUGACUUUAACGGUGUACGAGCCCGUCUUCGAAUUCGCUCAGCUAGGGGUAGAAGGAGAGAGGGAGAUAGGGUGUCCAGUGGAUGCUGCGAGGAGAGAGGGAGCUAGGGAAGAGACGUGGUGGCCGCGGGUACCGUUCGUGAUAGGGGAACGUGGCGAACGGCCUAUGUAGGUAAGGGUGGCGACCGCGAGGACGAGCGAGACGUCGACAGGGGUUGAGGAGGAGUUAGGUGUGGAGGCACAGGAGGCGGAAGCGGCGGACGGCGGAGGAAGAGGGGUGCUGGGGUGGAGGAGAUAAAGAGGGGAAGGCGGAGGACGGGGUGAGGGACGGGCGGAGGAAGAGGGGUGGGGCGGGCGGAGGAAUAGGACGGAGCGCUGACAGAGCCACGGCCACCACCACCGGUGCUGGUCUGAGAACGCGUCGAUGGCCGACGUCAAGGAACGCGAAGGAGGGUGCAGAGGUGGUGGAGCGGACACGUUGUGGCACGGGCGUGCCAGGGUCGCGGUAGAUGAUGUCGGGGCGCCAGUUGGCAGACCUGUGGUACCCGUCGCCGGUACCUCCGGCGUGGAGAUAGGCGAGCGGUCGGUCAUGGAGGCGGAUGUAGGAGGGAGUAGGUAGAUCUAGUCCCAACGGGUUGUCAAAAAGUACAACACAGAAAAGACUGGCGCACUUCAACGUUCAACGUCUUCACCUUAGUUGGAAAAGAUAAUAGUACGGUUUUCUUUUUUUUGGAAAUUACGAUGUCGGCUCGCCUCGGUACCUACGGAUACGAAAGCGUAUGAACGGAGACAACGACCUCCAUAUAGUAAGGUUAUAAGUAUGAUAUCUUCAGCAACAGUCCCUCACGCUCUACCCGCCGCGUCACCGGUCGCUACCGUUGUCGUAGUGCCGUCGACACAAGUGGGUCAAACUCCACUGCAGCUCCUCUACAGCUGCUUGAGGCACCUACUCGCCACCAGUACUCUCAAACGGCUCCUUCCGGCUGAGCUAGUACCUCAACGAUAGCGACGUCUUCCGCUGCGAUCGUUAUCUCUGUAGGUAGGUAAUCACGGUGGUACUUGUUGUUGCAACAUUCCGAGACGUGACCAACGACUUCAUCGUCUCUCCGAACGCAGUACGUUCGUUGACCACCGAUGUUCCUAGACAUACAUUUGUACCGAAAACGAUUUCUCUCUUUGACCCUCUAUGAUGAUAGGACCAAGGUACCUUCCGAAUAAACAGUAGAACUUAGGACUAAACCUGUUCUUCUUGAGGGGGUACAAAGGAACUUAGAGAUAUUUCGUCACAACACGUAAUGAUAACUUACUGAGGCACCCAGCACCCGUAUCUCACCUCCAACGUAGUGUAGGAGAUGUAACACAGUUUCCUGAACGUACAACACCGCAAGUAUCACCUGCCCCAAACAAAAGUACAUUCACUACCAGCUACAUUCUAUCCAUCACCUACCUGCCCGUAAAGUAUUCAAAAAAAGGGCAACGUUGCGUGCCCGGGAAAACGAUACAUUAAGUAUGUACAAACUACCGGUAU